This 408-nucleotide ribosomal RNA is filed under the name uncultured microorganism. RNAcentral's name for it is "bacterial SSU rRNA". It matches the Rfam family "Archaeal small subunit ribosomal RNA", at positions 330 to 744 of the family's 1478-position model. The record is from RNAcentral.
GUGCACCAGUCGCGAAUACUUUACAAUGUGCGAAAGCACGAUAAGGGAACUCUGAGUGCCUCCUAAGGAGGCUGUUCAGGUGUCUAAAAGCACCUGAAGGAAGGGCCGGGUAAGACCGGUGCCAGCCGCCGCGGUAACACCGGCAGCCCAAGUGGUAGCCACGUUUAUUGGGUCUAAAGCGUCCGUAGCCGGCUGGGUAAGUUCCUUGGGAAAUUUGGCUGCUUAACAGUCAAGCUUUCAGGGAAUACUGCCCGGCUUGGGACCGGGAGAGGUCAGAGGUACUCCAGGGGUAGGGGUGAAAUCCAUUAAUCCUUGGGGGACCACCGGUAGCGAAGGCGUCUGACCAGACCGGGUCCGACGGUGAGGGACGAAGGCUAGGGGCGCGAACCGGAUUAGAUACCCGUGUAG